UUCUAUGGAUGCCACUAGAAAAAAAAAAAAGGAUCUUUUUGGGUAGAUUCCAUUAAACAGUUGCAAUUUAGGGAAACCUAUAGGCUAUACAUUUGUUCAAUAUGGGGGAACCUAGGCUGUCCAUUGCAAUAUGGGGAAACCUAGGGUUCAGUGAACAAGCCCUAAAAUUUGUCAUUGUUUAAUAAUUGCUACAUAUACUGCAGCUAACGAGUUGAAGAGACAGAAGAGAAGCCUGGUGGGUUUAGAGAAGGAUCAUCUGUAGCAGGAGGACACUAGGCCUGGGACGAACGGAAAGACUUGCACAAACUAUAACAAGAAAGAGUGCCAAGUAUAGUCUUUCCGGAUCCUCCCAUGCCUAUAGCCCUCCCUACAUAUCCUUCUUAUUUCCAUCUGCUCCAACAGAUCUAGUCUAUAGCUGUCUAUUCUGAUGGUUUUUUGUACAAUAAGAUGAGAGUUUGAUUGUUUGACAAACUUUCUACUGUAAUUGUUGGAGGCUUUCGAUUGAUUUUCUGUCAUUCAGCCAAAGGAUGCCAUUUGAUGGAUCUGUUAGCAUUUGGGAAUAAAGAUCCUUGUUUUGUGUCAA
Molecule: long non-coding RNA, 583 nt
Organism: Cryptomeria japonica (Japanese cedar)
Lineage: Eukaryota; Viridiplantae; Streptophyta; Pinopsida; Cupressales; Cupressaceae
Exons: 2
Source: RefSeq, a predicted model, not a curated record